This 496-nucleotide ribosomal RNA is filed under the name Escherichia coli. RNAcentral describes it as "partial 23S ribosomal RNA". It matches the Rfam family "Bacterial large subunit ribosomal RNA", at positions 711 to 1205 of the family's 2925-position model. Lineage: Bacteria; Pseudomonadati; Pseudomonadota; Gammaproteobacteria; Enterobacterales; Enterobacteriaceae. The record is from RNAcentral.
AGACCCGAAACCCGGUGAUCUAGCCAUGGGCAGGUUGAAGGUUGGGUAACACUAACUGGAGGACCGAACCGACUAAUGUUGAAAAAUUAGCGGAUGACUUGUGGCUGGGGGUGAAAGGCCAAUCAAACCGGGAGAUAGCUGGUUCUCCCCGAAAGCUAUUUAGGUAGCGCCUCGUGAAUUCAUCUCCGGGGGUAGAGCACUGUUUCGGCAAGGGGGUCAUCCCGACUUACCAACCCGAUGCAAACUGCGAAUACCGGAGAAUGUUAUCACGGGAGACACACGGCGGGUGCUAACGUCCGUCGUGAAGAGGGAAACAACCCAGACCGCCAGCUAAGGUCCCAAAGUCAUGGUUAAGUGGGAAACGAUGUGGGAAGGCCCAGACAGCCAGGAUGUUGGCUUAGAAGCAGCCAUCAUUUAAAGAAAGCGUAAUAGCUCACUGGUCGAGUCGGCCUGCGCGGAAGAUGUAACGGGGCUAAACCAUGCACCGAAGCUGCGG